RNAcentral lists this ribosomal RNA (253 nucleotides) under uncultured bacterium. RNAcentral describes it as "partial 16S ribosomal RNA". It matches the Rfam family "Bacterial small subunit ribosomal RNA", at positions 524 to 776 of the family's 1533-position model. The record is from RNAcentral.
UACGGAGGGGGCGAGCGUUAUUCGGAAUUAUUGGGCGUAAAGAGCUCGUAGGCGGCCUGUUGCGUCCGCUGUGAAAGCCCGGGGCUUAACCCCGGGUCUGCAGUGGAUACGGGCAGGCUAGAGGUAGGUAGGGGAGAAUGGAAUUCCCGGUGUAGCGGUGAAAUGCGCAGAUAUCGGGAGGAACACCGGUGGCGAAGGCGGUUCUCUGGGCCUUACCUGACGCUGAGGAGCGAAAGCGUGGGGAGCGAACAGG